This 281-nucleotide ribosomal RNA is filed under the name Eutichurus ravidus. Its description in RNAcentral is "partial 12S ribosomal RNA". The record is from RNAcentral. Lineage: Eukaryota; Metazoa; Arthropoda; Arachnida; Araneae; Cheiracanthiidae.
CGGCCUUUUAUUCUUUUUAGGAGGAAUUUGUAAAUUAAUCGACAUUACACGAUAAUUUUCACUUUAAUAUUAAUAAUUUAUAUACCGCCAUCAAAGAUUUUUUAUAAAUAUUUUAUCUUAAUUAUAAAUAAAAUGUUAGGUCAAGGUUUAAUUUAAAUUAAAGGCUUUAAUGAAUUACAUUAAAUAUAUUUAAGGAUUAAAAUUUUUUAAAAUUUUUUAAAAGAGGAUUUAUAAGUAUAUUUAUAUAAUAAUUUUUAUAAUUGAAUAAGAUAAUAAAGUGU